Molecule: ribosomal RNA, 801 nt
Filed under: uncultured bacterium
Lineage: Bacteria
Description: bacterial SSU rRNA
Rfam family: Bacterial small subunit ribosomal RNA
Source: RNAcentral
AGAGUUUGAUCCUGGCUCAGGACGAACGCUGACGGUGUGCUUUAGACAUGCAAGUCGAACGAGAAAGCCCUUCGGGGUGAGUACAGUGGCGAACGGGUGAGUAACACGUGGGCAAUCUGCCCCUCGCAGGGGGACAACCGGGGGAAACUCCGGCUAAUACCCCGUACGCUUGCGGAGCCGCAUGGCUCUGUAAGGAGAGGUAGCUUCGGCCAUCCGGCGAGGGAUGAGCCCGCGGUACAUUAGCUAGUUGGUGGGGUAACGGCCCACCAAGGCGACGAUGUAUAGCUGGUCUGAGAGGAUGAUCAGCCACACUGGGACUGAGACACGGCCCAGACUCCUACGGGAGGCAGCAGUCGGGAAUCUUGCGCAAUGGGCGAAAGCCUGACGCAGCAACACCGUGUGAGCGAUGAAGGCCUUCGGGUCGUAAAGCUCUGUUGUUGGGGACGAAGGGCGAGGGGUUAAUAGCCCCGAGCUUGACGGUACCCUUCGAGGAAGCCCCGGCUAACUACGUGCCAGCAGCCGCGGUAAUACGUAGGGGGCGAGCGUUGUCCGGAAUUAUUGGGCGUAAAGAGCGUGUAGGCGGUUCGGUAAGUCUGCUGUGAAAACCCAGGGCUCAACCCUGGGCGUGCAGUGGAUACUGCCGGGCUAGAGGGUGGUAGAGGCGAGUGGAAUUCCCAGUGUAGCGGUGAAAUGCGCAGAUAUUGGGAGGAACACCAGUAGCGAAGGCGGCUCGCUGGGCCAUUCCUGACGCUGAGACGCGAAAGCUAGGGGAGCGAACAGGAUUAGAUACCCUAGUAGUCC